GUAACGGUUGUAGAAAGUUAACAGUGGCGACGAGAAAGUGAAACGAACCCACAUACAGUUCAAGCUCAAACGGAAAAUUCUAGAGUGAGCUACGUCAUCAUCAUUGUUCGAUCGACAUUUUCUUCUGUCGGUAUCUCUUGUGAAGAACCGUGAAGUGCUACAAACAAAGAGAGCAGAGAGUGGUUUACGAAGGAGAUUCCGUGAGCUUCUCGAGCUUCUACAGUGAGCAUAGUCGCAGGCAAAAAGUGAUAGCGAGUGAGAACCCUGCCGAGAGUCAUCCGGCGGAGAAAUAUACAAUAUACCUACGUCAACCGGAAAAGCUUAGAACAUCUGCUGGGAGUGAGAUUUAUGCUGUCUAGCUGAGCAAGGUGCAUGACUACUUGUGACAGCUGGAAUAAACAAAAUCGACGAUCGAACGGAGUGUAGAAUCUACAUCCAGUGCGAACGGAGAGGCGUAUCAACACUAUUUAUUGGAUCAACAGAGCAAGGUCGGCGGUGACAGCAACCGUCGACUGGUGAGAAGUGUGCCGGUAGUGAGACUGAGCAGCGAGUCUGACGAGAGGUUGCAUCGUUGUCAAGUGAGAAGUUGCAUCCGCAAGAGUUGAGUGAGUGAGCGGUAAUUAACCUCAGCGAACUGUCCUUCUAUGCAUUUGUCGAAAUGCGAAGGCCAGAGAAUACCGACGAGAACUUGGACGAGAACGUACUUCUUGGUGUUUCAGGGCGGAACGCCGCGUCAGGAGCUGUUGGUGAAACACUAUCCCGUGUUUGCUGCAUGAUAAUCACGGAGGAAAACUAGAGGGAUCUAAAAACCCGCGAAUCCCUGGAUCCGCUGAUGGAAAGCGCAGCGAUUAAUUUGUUUAGAUUUAACGCCGGGAAUACGACUUGGGAUGAUGGGUUAACUGAUGAAAUAACACUACUUAGGCUAACAAGAAAUGUAUCUUACUCAAUGUAUAUCGUAAUAUUUAUCUUGCAGUAAAUAAA
Molecule: long non-coding RNA, 981 nt
Organism: Armigeres subalbatus
Lineage: Eukaryota; Metazoa; Arthropoda; Insecta; Diptera; Culicidae
Exons: 3
Source: RefSeq, a predicted model, not a curated record